This 400-nucleotide ribosomal RNA is filed under the name uncultured bacterium. RNAcentral describes it as "bacterial SSU rRNA". It matches the Rfam family "Bacterial small subunit ribosomal RNA", at positions 43 to 439 of the family's 1533-position model. The record is from RNAcentral.
CAGGCCUAACACAUGCAAGUCGAACGGUAGCACAGAGGAGCUUGCUCCUUGGGUGACGAGUGGCGGACGGGUGAGUAAUGUCUGGGAAACUGCCCGAUGGAGGGGGAUAACUACUGGAAACGGUAGCUAAUACCGCAUAACGUCUUCGGACCAAAGUGGGGGACCUUCGAGCCUCACACCAUCGGAUGUGCCCAGAUGGGAUUAGCUAGUAGGUGGGGUAAUGGCUCACCUAGGCGACGAUCCCUAUCUGGUCUGAGAGGAUGACCAGCCACACUGGAACUGAGACACGGUCCAGACUCCUACGGGAGGCAGCAGUGGGGAAUAUUGCACAAUGGGCGCAAGCCUGAUGCAGCCAUGCCGCGUGUAUGAAGAAGGCCUUCGGGUUGUAAAGUACUUUCAG